RNAcentral lists this unclassified non-coding RNA (262 nucleotides) under Hevea brasiliensis (rubber tree). The record is from RNAcentral. Lineage: Eukaryota; Viridiplantae; Streptophyta; Magnoliopsida; Malpighiales; Euphorbiaceae.
GGGACGAUUACAAGAAAUAUUCGAGCUUGUGCCGGGGUGUUCAGAAGCUAGUCAACAUGUUGAAGAAAAUGAACGAGAAAGACCCUUUUCGAUUGGAAUUGACUGAGAAGCUCCUCGAAAAGCUGUACAAUAUGGGUGUGAUACCAACCCGACAGAGCUUGAAUUUAUGUGAUCGCCUGUCAGUGUCAUCCUUCUGCAGACGGAGGCUAUCAACGGUGUUGGUACGUUUGAAGUUUGCCGAGCACUUGAGGGAAGCUGUUAC